AUAUCAGUCAUGCAUAGCAUAUCAAUAAGCGGAGGAAAAGAAACUAACAAGGAUUCCCUUAGUAACGGCGAGUGAAGCGGGAAGAGCUCAAAUUUGAAAUCUUCAAGGUUUUACCUUGACGAAUUGUAGUUUAAAGAAGUGAUUUCUGUUGAAGUUUUGGUAAAAGUUCUUUGGAAUAGGACAUCAUAGAGGGUGAGAAUCCCGUAUUUGACCAUUACUUUCAGCUUUGUGAUACACUUUCAAAGAGUCGGAUUGUUUGGGAAUGCAGUCCAAAAUGGGUGGUAAAUUUCAUCUAAAGCUAAAUAUUGGCGAGAGACCGAUAGCGAACAAGUACCGUGAGGGAAAGAUGAAAAGAACUUUGAAAAGAGAGUUAAACAGUACGUGAAAUUGUCAAAAGGGAAGCGUUUGACACCAGUGUUGUUUACUCGAAAAUCAAUUAAAAAGAGUUGGAUUUUGUGUUGUAUUGACUUUAUCAGCUUUCUUCACUCUUUUCCAGCUUUUUUUAAUGCACUUUUCGUUUAACAAGUCAACAUCAGUUUCUUUUGUUGUAAAAAGGUCAUUGGAAGGUGGCUUUCUCUUCGGAGAAAGUGUUUAUAGCCUUUGACUCAUGCAAUCGGAGAGACUGAGGUCUGCAGCGUAGAUCCUUCGGGGUUAGAUACAUUUGUGCUAAGUUAUAGCUUUUCAUAGACAACUUGUUGACUAUGUUUAGUCUUGUAGCUUACUCGCUUAUGCUAUUUUACCUACGCUUAGGAUGUUGAACUCUAUCACACACAG
Molecule: ribosomal RNA, 774 nt
Filed under: uncultured Neocallimastigales
Lineage: Eukaryota; Fungi; Neocallimastigomycota; Neocallimastigomycetes; Neocallimastigales
Description: partial large subunit ribosomal RNA
Rfam family: Eukaryotic large subunit ribosomal RNA
Source: RNAcentral